Molecule: ribosomal RNA, 442 nt
Filed under: uncultured bacterium
Lineage: Bacteria
Description: partial 16S ribosomal RNA
Rfam family: Bacterial small subunit ribosomal RNA
Source: RNAcentral
CCUACGUGUGGCUGCAGUGAGGAAUAUUGGUCAAUGGACGCAAGUCUGACCCAGCAACGCCGCGUGAAGGAAGAAGGCUUUCGGGUUGUAAACUUCUUUUGUCAGGGAAGAGUAGGAGACGGUACCUGACGAAUAAGCCACGGCUAACUACGUGCCAGCAGCCGCGGUAAUACGUAGGUGGCAAGCGUUGUCCGGAUUUACUGGGUGUAAAGGGCGUGUAGCCGGGUUGACAAGUCAGAUGUGAAAUCCUGCGGCUUAACCGCAGAACUGCAUUUGAAACUGUUGAUCUUGAGUACUGGAGAGGCAGAUGGAAUUCCUAGUGUAGCGGUGAAAUGCGUAGAUAUUAGGAGGAACACCAGUGGCGAAGGCGGCUUACUGGACAGUAACUGACGUUGAGGCUCGAAAGCGUGGGGAGCAAACAGGAUUAGAUACCCCUGUAGUC